UGGAAUUGAACCUGGAGACUCACAGCUGGUGCUGUGAGGCAGCAGUGCUAACCACUGAGCCACCAUGUUGCCCUUUACCUUGAGCAUUUCUAAGUACACAGCAAAAACCACCUUAAUGAUCAGUUCAAAUACUUUCUACAUGAUAGAUGUCAAGCUAACUCACCUAUAAGUUUACUUUUUUUUCUCCCCUUCUUGAAUAAAAAAUAUUGGCUAUUUUAUAAUCUGAUGGAGCCUUUGCAAAUCUAGCAAAUUUUGGACAAUUAUUAUCAAUGCAUUUACCACCUCUUUCAAGACCCUAGGAUUAAGUUCAUCUGGACUGGGGACUGGUCAGUAACACUUACCUAGAGAUUUUAAUUUCAACUCUUAAGUUGUAAAGAACUCAAGUUGAAGUAUUUUAACUCCUUGGUAGCAUUUGGCUGAUAUUUAUUAUAAUCCAUUCCAGUUUACGUAAGGGAAAUUUGUAUCUGUAAUCAAAUUGCAAUUUAUUUUCAUGUUUGUUUCCAUGCUACUAUGAACUCAAGAACUAAUAAAACUGUGCAGGUUUGCACAGUGACAGAGCUUUUACUUUGUAGUAAAUUUUACUGUGAGAGCAGAAUUAUCAAUUCCUCCCAAUAACAAAAAUGUGCUGCUGUUCAAUAAAUAUAUUUUUAUGCUUCAUUUCACCAUGUACCACUGGAGUAAUCUAGGAUUUAUAAAUACCUCUUUUUUUUGGUCUAAAACGGAAAGAUACUGCUUUAACCAGAGAAACUAAUUUAGAGAAUCCUUGGAGUUUAAAAACAAAGUUACUCGAGCACAUUGUGGGUUCUGCCCAGACACGGUCUUUUCAUUGGCUUAUCAAUUAUCACCACUUAAUGUGUUCAUCAGUACUCAUCAUAGUAACAAUUUCUUGUUUGGCUUCUGGACAGGUGGCUGUCGCUGUGUGUGUAGACAAUACAGCAGUAACAAUCAGCCUACAAAGAGAAACGAUCCUCUUUUCCUCUCCCUUUUGCACAGAGAGAUCUGCUUGAAAAUCUUAAGCCCUGGCCUAUUUGUUCCUGCCAACAGUUCAUGCCACAGGCUGUCACUCACAUUCACUUUGAGUCAUCAGUCCCAGAAGAUUUAUAACGAGAAAGAUGUAUUUUCCAGCAAACAAAGGGGAUCAACAUGAUAUUGAGCCAAGUCACAGGACCACAGGCCACCAACUCCACACUGCAGCACUCAACUAGAGUACAUGACCUAGCCUUUUGGACCUACUGUGAUGUUUAAUAAGAUCAUGGCUGAUCUGAUUUUAACUUCAACUCUACAUUCCUAUAUACCCUAUAAUGCUUCAUCUCCUUAGUACUCAGUAAUCUAUCUAUUUCUGUCUUUAAAAUGUUUAA
Chiloscyllium plagiosum (whitespotted bambooshark) is the source of this 1358-nucleotide non-coding RNA. The record is from RefSeq and is a predicted model, not a curated record. Lineage: Eukaryota; Metazoa; Chordata; Chondrichthyes; Orectolobiformes; Hemiscylliidae.